UGCACAUUUGACGUUACCUACAGAAGAAGACACCGGCUAACUCCGUGCCAGCAGCCGCGGUAAUACGGAGGGUGCGAGCGUUAAUCGGAAUUACUGGGCGUAAAGACGCAUGCAGGCGGCCUGUUAAGUCAGAUGUGAAAGACCCGGGGCGUUAACCUCGGAAUUGCAUUUGAAACUAGACAGGCUAGAGUCUUGUAGAGGGGGGUAGGAAUUUCAGGUGUAGCGGUGAAAUAGCGUAGAGAUCUGAAGGAAUACCAGUGGCGAAGGCGGCCCCCCUCGGACAAAGACUGACGCUCAGAUGCGAAAGCGUGGGGAGCAAACAGGAUUAGAUACCCUGGUAG
Molecule: ribosomal RNA, 341 nt
Filed under: uncultured bacterium
Lineage: Bacteria
Description: bacterial SSU rRNA
Rfam family: Bacterial small subunit ribosomal RNA
Source: RNAcentral